AGCUCACGUAAUUAGUCUUAUCAGGAAAUUGCCCAGAAUAAACAGAACUCUGACUUCUCUGAAUUCCCUCUAAAACUGAGAUGUAAGCCGCUGGGUGCCAGAUGUGGGCCACGUUAGCACCUACACUGUGGUAUGUUAGUCCAAAACCCACUGCCAUAAAAUGAAAAGUAGAAGGAAUUAAUCUAUGAAACACUCUUAAAAUCAAUCUGUGAUUUUUAAAAUAUGCCUCCACUGGAGGGCGCCAGAGCAGCCCGAGGAAGGCACAAAACAAGGAAAUAGAAAACAGGUGGCGUUUAUUGUAACUCAUUAUCCUUGAUGAACUGAUGGAUUCGCUGUACAGUGAGGAAAUUGAAUGACUCAACUACUGCAGUACAACACAGACCUUCUCUAUCACCUCCACCUUUAGUCCUUUAGAAACGUUUGACCCAUGACCAGGACAAACACGUGAAAACCAGAAGCCCCUUCAUGUGUGUCCUUAACAUGCUGCUCCAGUAGGACACUCCCUAACAGAUUGCAGUCGGAUGAAGGCGAGUUUAUGGUCGGCAUCACUGGCCCUGGCAAACAAGGACGACUCCUCCAGAAAACUGAGCAGUUGAAGGAGGCAGACAAAUGUAUGGGAACAAGGUUUCUCAUCACACCGAGGAGGAUGAUCCUUUUCAGGAAAAAGGCCUGGUCGUUGAACCCACACACAGAGGUCAGAGGAGUUGUUCCUGGAUUAACUCGGACCAAAUUAAACCUGAUGCUUCUGUCAGGAAACAUCUGUGAGUCAACACACACCAUGGGCGUGUAAAUAGUGGUCACACUGGUCCAUUUACAGCAGGCCAUGUAACAGUGGAAUAUCCUGAAUGCAGGCCCUUGUUAUAAUGAAGCGGCCUGUGAUGAUGUCUCUGUGGACUCUUCUCCAUGCACGUCCACACCUCCAGACGUCAAGGUUUUUCGAAGGAGAAAAUAACUUCCCUAAGGCCUGAGAGAGCUGACUUGGUUUUACAAUGAUCUACUUGGAGCCUCACCACUGCUAGCCUGCCAACCAGUCAACCAGUCAUGUAACUACGUUUACAGUAUCUCUGAAACAUUUAAGAAAUGUUUCCUCGUCUCAUCAGAUAGGAAAUCACUCUGUUACUCUGCUUCAUCUUCUGAUUGUCUAUUCACCUGUGACCUACUCUGUAGGAUGUUACCAAACUAACCAGUACUGGAGUUUAACACAUUGUACUGGUGUUACAGUAUAGUCUCCAAAAUAAAAUAAAAUUAGCUGUACUUCUAUCUUCUAGCUGUCUUAUAAUUAGUUCCAGCCUUUUGCCAUGCUAUCUUCAAGUAGAAAAUGUAGCUAAUUUAUCAAAAAUUGUCUUUAUUGUCUGCGUUGUGCUGCACAUUUAGUUCAUUAC
Molecule: long non-coding RNA, 1382 nt
Organism: Cynoglossus semilaevis (tongue sole)
Lineage: Eukaryota; Metazoa; Chordata; Actinopteri; Pleuronectiformes; Cynoglossidae
Exons: 6
Source: RefSeq, a predicted model, not a curated record